GAGAUUUGAAAUUCGAAAGCAAACUUCUAAUUUGUCUUUAAAGCAGUGUAAUUCUGUUUAUUCUCUAU
Molecule: transfer RNA, 68 nt
Filed under: Coleoptera sp. ACP-2013
Lineage: Eukaryota; Metazoa; Arthropoda; Insecta; Coleoptera
Description: tRNA-Ser
Source: RNAcentral